This 427-nucleotide ribosomal RNA is filed under the name uncultured bacterium. RNAcentral's name for it is "bacterial SSU rRNA". It matches the Rfam family "Bacterial small subunit ribosomal RNA", at positions 355 to 775 of the family's 1533-position model. The record is from RNAcentral.
UGGGGAAUCUUGCGCAAUGGGCGAAAGCCUGACGCAGCAACGCCGCGUGCGGGAAGAAGGCCUUCGGGUUGUAAACCGCUGUCAGGAGGGACGAAGCCACUCGGGUGAAUAGCCCAGAGGGUGACGGUACCUCCAGAGGAAGCCCCGGCUAACUACGUGCCAGCAGCCGCGGUAAUACGUAGGGGGCGAGCGUUGUCCGGAAUCAUUGGGCGUAAAGCGCGUGUAGGCGGCUUGCCAAGUCCGGUGUGAAAUCUCGGGGCUCAACCACGAAACUGCACUGGAAACUGGCUUGCUAGAGUCCGGAAGAGGAGAUUGGAAUUCCUGGUGUAGCGGUGAAAUGCGCAGAUAUCAGGAAGAACACCCGUGGCGAAGGCGGAUCUCUGGGACGGUACUGACGCUGAGACGCGAAAGCGUGGGGAGCGAACAG